Hippocampus zosterae (dwarf seahorse) is the source of this 201-nucleotide long non-coding RNA. RefSeq lists it as uncharacterized. NCBI's taxonomy places the organism in Eukaryota, Metazoa, Chordata, Actinopteri, Syngnathiformes, Syngnathidae. The record is from RefSeq and is a predicted model, not a curated record. The transcript is spliced from 2 exons.
GUGCUGAAGACUGUGGGCUGGUGACUUGUACAACUCAUACUUACCUGGCAGGGGAGAUACCAUGAUCAAGAAGGUGGUUCACCCAGGGUGAGGCUCAGCCAUUGCACUCCGGCUGUGCUGACCCCUGCGAAUUCCCCAAAUGUGGGAAUCUCGACUGCAUAAUUUCUGGUAGUGGGGGACUGCGUUCGCGCUCUCCCCUGA